RNAcentral lists this small RNA (83 nucleotides) under Marmota monax (woodchuck). Lineage: Eukaryota; Metazoa; Chordata; Mammalia; Rodentia; Sciuridae. The record is from RNAcentral.
GCUGGGCACGGUGGUGCACACCUGUAAUCCCAGUGGCUUGGGAGGCUGAGGCAGGAGGAUCUAGAGUUCAAAGCCAGCCUCAU